GGGCUCGGGGGUCCCAGUU
Molecule: non-coding RNA, 19 nt
Filed under: Arabidopsis thaliana (thale cress)
Lineage: Eukaryota; Viridiplantae; Streptophyta; Magnoliopsida; Brassicales; Brassicaceae
Source: RNAcentral